UUACUCGCUUUUUAAAUUUGUUCCUUCAAAUACAAAAUCCAAGAUCAAGUGAAUAGCACCAGCAAAAUCAAAAAGUAAAACUAAAACUAAAAUAGUUGCUAAAUUACAAGUUCCCGAUGAGGAAAACAAAAACUUAUGGUGUCUAAGUGCACACGCAAGUGUACGCGGUCUACCAAGUAGUAAAAUCUCAUUAUAAAAGUCAAGUAUAGAUCGCAUAUGGACUUGUGUUAGACAUCUAUCUAAUUUAAUUUCAACUAUCACGAUUAAGCAAGUUCUAAAGUAACUGAAAGAGUUUGAGAAUUAUCACUGAAAGUAAAGUAAGCAAUACUGCAAAUUAAAGGUCCUUGAACAACAAUAGGGAAAACCUAGGGUUAAGACACUACGAACAAUUAUACUUCGCUAUAUAACUUCAUUGGUUAGGUUAAUUAUAUUUUUUGUUGGUCCUCGGGGUUGAGACUAUUACUAUGGCCUUCCGAACCUCUACUAUUUCACUUAGCCCUACAACUACAUCAUUGAGCGGGGAUGCAAGAACUAAGUUAAAUGCAUUUAUAUUCUUCCAGUGUAUGAUCCAUAUAGGGUUCAUUAUGUAUAUUCCUAUUCUAAACACAAAUCAUAACUUUAUUCAAUUGAAAGAUUACAAUCCGAUUCCAUCUAUCCUACGUUCUACCCUAUCAUUCAUCCUUCCGGGUUCAUAAUAAAUUUAUGCAUGUAUUACAAGGGCCUUGAAUCCUUAAAAUAGUGAUAAAAAGGAUAAAAAAAAAUUAACAAUGAUAAAUAACCAAAAUCAAUUCAAUUAAUAACAAAAGUACUCAUGUUUUUGGCCUUAACCCCCCAAAAAGGGUGUUUAGCAGCUCAUGAACAUACACGUAAUAAUAAUAGAUGAAUCCAAGUUAUAAUCCAUCAGUAAACUAAAGUAAAUAAAGUAAAACACUAAUUGAAGCAUUAUCUAGCAUAUAUUUAAGCCCCAAGGUCUUCCAAGGUUGUUAGAAUUGAGUUUAAGUAUCGCUGCCUAAUUUUAACAUAGGGGCGCGCCACGCCCUUAUCGCGUGGCCUAGGGUCUGUGCACUCCAAUAUCAUGGAUUCACACUAUUUUGUGACAUAUUUGGUUACAACCAAGGGCUUUACAUGGCUUUAUCACUUCAUCUAGGUAGUGUGGCACGCCAAUGACUCCAAAAAAGUCCAACUUUGCACAAUGUUUGUCCCAUGCGUCUGUUCUUCUAAUCCAAGUUUUGUGGUGUUGUUUCUUUUUGAUUUCUAGAUUGUGUAAUAUACUUUAUCGUCUUUAUCAACUCACUAAUAAUCCGAUAAAAUCAGACACUAUAAAUUAGAGCUCAAAACAACACGCAAUCCAACACAACGAACUAGAAAGGGACAUAGCUCAAGCUAAGAGUACUAAUUUUCGCAUUUGAUCUUUAACUUAGUGUUUUGACUCCAAACUCACUAUAAACAUAUCUUAAACACUAUAAAUACAUAAAUCAACACUUAAAUACUCAUUUACAAAAUGAUUACAUCAUUAUGUACACAAGAAGUCCUCAAAACUAAGUUAAAUUAGCUCAAAUAACAACAAUAAGGUGCAUAAAUCCUCCUCAGAUCAACAAGCAUCAAUAUUAAUAAAAUUUCUCAAUCUUAUCCGAAGGCCACAUCUCUUCGUCAAACUAUUACUUUUCAUACUGUUCCCAUCAUGACAAUUCAACCCCUCCUGGGUGUAAUAAUGCAUGCAACACCCCAAAUCUCAAUAAAGAAGAAGGUCCUUCCUAAACUCAAGUCAUUCUUUGACAAAAGCCCCAAUUCAAGUAUCACAAUAUCAGAUUUUUAUCAUAACUACUUCAACCUAGUAUUUUGCGCAACCUAAGCCAGCCUUUACACUUACCGUUGAAGCUCUUCUAUAUAAAGCUUGAAGUUGAGUACUCUCGAUCACCUUAUUCCAUUAUGGUCUUUUAAUACAUGGGAACAAUGAAGGUAGAGCCUCAAUUGAUAGAAAAAAAAUUCAGAAUUUCUUGGGGUUCUGUAUUUUAAAAAAAAAAAGGUAGAAAAAGAAAUAAAUAUAUUAAUAAUUUAAUUCUUAGUCGGCAUAAUAAAUAGGAGGGAAAAAAUUAAAUUUAGUUCUUCUAAACUUGUGACAUAUCCACUAAAAUUUCCGUAGUCAGGUGUAGUGAUGUUUUGCACUAACAACUAAAAUCAGAGUAGUAAAUAUAGCAACUAGAUGGGUGUUCAGUUAAUUAAAGAGUUGAACAUAAUCAAAAAGUCAUUGUCCUAUUGAACUAAUUAGGUAAAGGUCCACUUUUCUUGCGUUUCUCUUGCUUUAUAGGCUAGACCAGGUCAUUGGCUAAGGUUGGUUUGUCUAGCUUCCCUUUUUACCUGCUUUCGAGUUAGCACUACAUUGUUUUAAAAAUACUUGAUUAGUAAUAUUUUUUGUAUUUACAUUAAACUUUUUAUGUUUAGCACCAAAUUCCAAUUUUAGUGGUUAAGCAAACUAUUCCUUUUUCCACAUCAUCUAAUUAACAGCUUUUGAUAUAUUUAUAAAAAGUUGAAAAUUAAAAAGUUCAUGAGAGCAUAGGGAUAAAGUGAUACAUGUCCCUACGUUCAGCAUGGAAUAAAUAAGUUUAUCUAUGGGACUAUAUUGCUCAAUGCGGAUCUAUGAAUUAAGACAUAUGAGUUUUUACAAUAAUUUUAGAUUAUUUUAUAAUAGAAAUUGAGUUUAUAAUUAAAUAUUUAUAAAUUUUUCUUGAUGAAAAAUUACUUAUACUCUCAAUUUUGCUUUAAAAAUCAAACUCCUCCUCACGUGUAAAUAAUAGAACAUUCUUCCUUAUCUUUUUUUAGGGGGGUUAAUCUUCCUCCCUUAUCAAAUGCAAUAUCUAUUUUACCCAUAAUAUUUUCAUUAUGCAUAUAUGUAAUAUUUUCUUAUAUUAUAUAUAAUAUUUAUCUUUUAAAACUAUGUAUUUAUAGAUUUUUAUAUAAAUUAUUGGCCCUUUAAUGAAUUUAUCACAAAAUCUAAAGUUAUUUUUGUGAUUAUUAUUUUUAUAUUAUAUGCAUUAAGUAGGAAUAUAUGUAUUACAUAUGUGUGUAAAUUUAAGAUCCACUUCUCCCUUAUUCUUUUAUUGUCUAGGUAGAUUAACGAGGUUUGAUUGUCAUAAAUGAAAUAUUUUUCUAUUUGGGGAUUUAGCUACACAAAACAAAACAAGGUCAAGCUGUGGGAGAGUUAAAGUUGAAGUUGAUCUAUUAGGGGAUUUUCCUAAAGGGAUUAAUAUUGGGAUGAGGAAAAAGAUAGGAGAAGCUAUAGAGAAGUGGAUUCACAUCAAAUAUGAUUAUGUGCCCAAAUAGUGUAAGGAAUGCAAACUAUAGGGGCAUAAUGAGAAAGAAUGCUAUGUCAGUCAUCCUGAGUUAUAUCAAAAGAAAGACAAUGGGAAGGUAGACGAGCAAGAGAAUACGAAGUCGUAGAAAGGAGAAAAUAGGAACAAAGAAGGAUUAGCAAGUAAGGAAGAAAAAGGUAAGGCCACGGUAACCGAGGAAGAAGAAUUUCAACAACAAAAGAGGAAGCAGCUGAAAAGAAGAAGAAAUUAUGGAGAAAGACGGGAUAUGAGAUGGAAUUAGAAGGUUAUGGACUCAGAAGGUCCAUAAUCAAAAGGUUCCCACAACUAAAGAUCCAUAUAUAGCAGUAAAUAACAAGUUUGAAGCACUUGAGAAGAAAGAUAUAGAAGCUAAUUCUAACAAAGAGAAUCCAUAGGGUAUUAAUAAAGAAAUAAUUGGAAAGGAACAAAAUACUCAUGAAGAUAGGCAUACUCUGAAUAGGAACAAGAAGAAUGACAACAGGGCAUUGACUCCACAAAACUACAUUAGUACUUCCACCAAAAAAGGAGAUUUACAUAAAGAGUUACAAAGUUCAGUAAGAGAUCAGGGAAGAUAUAGUGCAGAUCAUGACACUGUUAAUUCAGUUAAUACUAUGCAUUAUCAGGUAGAAGGAAAAGAAGUUGUAGUAAAUGGGAACAUUAAUAAAGAUCAUGUUGCGGAGAAGUCAGAAAAUAAAGUGGAAAGAAGAAGAGAGGUUCCUAAAAUUCAGAAUCUAACACAGUAGGAGAAACAACAUAAGCAAGACCAUGAAGAAGAUGCAGACAUGGAAGCUAAUAUAGAUCAAAUUUGAAGGAAUGGGGAUUUAUCUCUGAGAAAAAUUGGCCAAUUAAAAGGUAGGAAUAGAAAAGACUACAAAAAUAUCGGUGACAAGUCAUAAAGUAAUACAAGGACUAAGUCAGGCCUCAAAUCUAGUAGUGAUCAAUUAUUAAUAAGGUGUUAUUCUAGAAAAUUAGGUCUGUUAGAACUCAAAUCUCAUUUGAGAGACUAAUAGACCUUCAUAGAAGGAAUCAUUACUCUUACAUUGCUUUAAUGGAACCUUUUCAAAGCCUAUCAAAAUUGGAUAAAUACAGAAGAAGACUAGGUUUAGCAAAUGCUAAAACAAAUUAUUCAGAUAAAAUUUGGGUCUUUUAGGAUGAUGAAUAGGAAGAAAUUAAAGCCACAAAUUCUAUACAACAAUUAACUAUAGAAUAAAAAUUGAUAGUAGGAUUUGAUUUCUUUAAAGUAAUUGUACUAUAUGCUAGAUUUAGUCAUUUAGAGAGAUUAGAGUUGUGGGAGGAUUUGGAGAAUAUUGCUAGUAAUACUCACAUUCCUUGUCUUAUUGGUGGUGAUUUCAAUGUUAUCAUGAAUGAGUCUGAAAAAUUAAGAGGUCUCCCAGUGACACAACAAGAAACUCUUGAUUUUUCUCAGUGUAUGAACUCUUGUGCAUUAAAUGAAUAAAGAUACACAGGAAGCAGGUUCACUUAGUAGAAUGAGGGAAUUCUAGAUGACUGUACGUUUAUAAGAUUGGACAAGGUUUUUGGUAAUUAUGAUCUUACGCAGAUUAUAUCUAAUUGUGAAGUUCAUCAUCUCAUCAGACAGGGUUCAGAUCAUGCACCUCUACAUAUCAUAUGUAAUACUGCACAAUCGCAUGUGAGAAAAUCUUUUAGGUUCUUAAAUUUUUGGACUAAGCAUAAAGAUUUUUAGGGGGUAGUGUAGGAGUCUUGGAAGGAAAACAUCACUGGAUCUCAAUUUCAUGUAGUACAUGAAAAGUUGAAAAGGUGAAAUCAACACUUGCUAUAUGGAGUAGGGAGAUUUUCGGAGAUAUUUUCAAAAAAUAACCACUUUAGAAGAUGUUAUAAAGGUAAAAGAAGAAUAGAUAGAGAUAUACCCAACUCCAAAAAUAGAAAAAAACUAAGUAAAGCUGAGGCAGAUUUAAAAAGGUUGAUAAAGAUAGAGGAAGAUUUUUGGAAACAAACUGCAGGGAUGAAAUAAUUUAAAAAUAUCGAUAUAAAUAAAAAAUUCUUUCACCCAUAUAUAAAAGGAAGGAGGAGAAGGUUGCAGGUUAUAGAAAUUCAGACAAGGCAGGGGGAUAUUAUCAUAUUAGCUCAAAAUAUGGGAGAGGAGGCAGUGCAGGUUUUCAUAGAGCAAUUUAAAGAGACUCAGGUUAUUGUUAAUUAUGAAAUAUUUGGAUAUAUCAAGAAAAGUAUUUCUAAGGAUCAAAAUGACAGAAUGGAAAGAAUGCUUGAAAAGUAAUACAUCAAGAAAAUUGUUUUCUUUUUAAAUAGGGAGAGUGCAAGUGGUCCUGAUGAUUUUUCAGGUCAAUUUUUCAGUUUUGUUGGAGUAUAGUUAGAGAAGACAUUAUUAAUUUAGUGAAAGAUUUCUUUUGUGGAGGUGAAUUACCUAGGUACAUCACUCAUACUAAUCUUGAGCUUGUUUCAAAGAAAGAAGUGGUGAACACCUAUGGUGAUCUAAGACCCAUCAGUCUUAGCACUUUUGUUAAUAAAAUUAAAUCCAAGCUGCUCCAUAUGAGAAUUAUGGAAGUGCUUUCUAAUAUUAUUUUCAAUAAUCAGGCAGGCUUUGUUAAAGGAAUAUGCAUAAUAGAAAAUGUUUUCUAGCUUAGGAGAUUAUCAGAGAUAUUAACAGAAGAAAAAAGUUUCAUAAUGUGGUGGUGAAAUCGGAUAUGGCAAAGGCUUAUGAUAGGGUCUCUUGGAAAUAUCUUGUUGAGGUUUUGAGAAGUUUAGUUUCUCUGAAAGAAUUAUUAGUAUGGUGGUCAUAUUGAUUAGUAACAAUUGGUAUUCAAUGAUCAUGCAUGUCCAGUCUUAUGGUUUCCUUCAGUAAUCAAAAGGAUUAAUAUAGGGAGACCCUUUGUCACCAACCUUGUUUAUUAUCUCAGCUGAAGUCUUAUCAAGGAAUUUAAAUGAGUUGUUCAAUGAUCCAGAUUUUAAAGUAUAUAGAAUGCCUAAGUGGAUCCCGAACAUUAAUCACUUAUCAUGAUGAUACUAUCUUAUUUUGCUUUGGACAACUAUCAUCAAUGAAGAAGAUGGUGACAGUUUUGAGAAAGUAUGAGUACACCUCUGAUCAAAUGAGCAACUUAGACAAAAUUUUGAUCUAUUUGUAUGAGAAGGUUCCCACAGCUGUGAGCAACAACAUAAAGAGAAUAAUGGGAUAAAAUAAGAUAAGUUUCCUUUUACUUAUUCGGUUUGUCUAAUUUUUUAUGGAAGAAAGAAUAAGGAAUAUUAUGAUGAGCUGAUGAAAAAGGUGAUAAAUAGAUCAAAUUCAUGGCAGAAUAGGCUACUUUCUUAUGGGGAAGAUAUAUUUUAAUUACUCAUGUAUUACAUUCUAUACCCAUUUACAUUCUAUCUACUAUAAAUCCUCCAGUAAGUGUAGUUAAUCAACUACACAAAAUUUUUGCAAAGUUCUUUUGGGGUAAUCCCACUGGUUCAAAAAAUAAGCAUUGGGUCUCUUGGGAGUUAAUGUGUUUCCCAAAAAAUAAAGGUGGACUUAGAUUUAGAUCUUUACAUAAUAUGUCCAAGGAACUUUUUGCAAAACUCUGGUGGAACUUCAGAACGUCCAUAUCAACUAUGUGGAGUUCUUUUGUGUGGAAGAAAUAUUGCAAGAAGUUGUAUCCUUUAUUAACUAAAGGAACUAGAGCAUCACAUCUAUGGAGAAAAAUGAUUUCUAUAAGAGAGGAGGUGAAACAUAAUAUAUAGAGGCAGGUAAAAACUUGUAAUUUAAGUUUUUGAUAUGAUAAUUGGACAAAAUAAAGUACUUUGUAUUAUGUGGAAGGGGAGACAUUUCAAGAUGAGAAAAUAGAGGUGAAGAAUUUUAUCAGAAAUGGAGAGUGGGGCAAAUAAUUGUUGUUAUCAUAUUUAUCUGAAGAGAUGGUUGAUUUGAUUUUAGAAAUUGUAAAGCCUAUACUAGAGAAACAUCAGAAUGAUAAACUAUGGUGGAUGGGUAGCACAAGUGGCCAAUUUACAGUGAAGUUUGUCUGGGAGAUCAUCAAAAUGAAAAAAGAGAAAAAAAGAGAUUAAGAUUUCAUCUAGAACAAAGGUUUACUUUUUAAGUACAAUUCCUCCUUAUGAAGGGUAUAGUUGAGAAGGAUUCCUACAGAUGACAACUUAAAGAGAAUGAAGAUCUAAUUGGUAUCAAGAUGCUGGUGUUGUGAAAAUAGGAGGGAAGAGACUAUGACCCAUGUUUUACUAACAACCCCCUUGGCCUUAUGGCUUUAGAGGCUGUUUGCUCAUUUUGCAGGGAUACAGGUGGACAACAUACAAUUACAAUAGAUGAUUAUAUUAUGGUGGAAAAAGGAGUCAACAUCAAAGAUAAACAUGAUUUUCAGUGCUAUACCAGCUAUAAUCAUGUGGAACAUAUGAAAGGGGGGAAUUCUAUUAAACGUGGAGGUUCCAUUCAUUUUAAGGGAUGGUUUUGCAAGUCCAGGAGAUAAUGAAGAAGAUGAUCAAGACUUUGUAUCCAUGGAUAAAGUUGAAAUAUUGGCCAUGGCCAGAAGUGGUCAAUAAUAUGAGUACAUUUAGGCCAAAAUUGUAAUAUCAAAAGGUGUUAUGGAUGAAACCAGAAUCCAUGCAGUUAAAAUGCAACAUGGAUGAAGCUUGUAGAGAAAAUUCAGGGAUGAGUAAAUAUGGGUUUUGCAUAAGAAAAGAUAAAGGAGAUAUAGUGUAUGCUAGAGCUAAAGGCAUGGGACUGGGUACAAACACUGAAGUAGAAUAGAUUGCUAUUAAAAAGGCUUUAGAGUACUGUUAUGAGAAAGAUUUUAAAAAUUCCAUCUUACAAACUGACUCGUUAAGUCUUAAGCAAAUGAUACUAAAGCAGUGAAAAAUUUCUUGGGAGCUAGUAGUUAUUAUUGAGGAGAUUAGAUAAUUCAUUUAGAAACUAAAUAUCACUAUCACACAUAUAUUUAGGGAAGGGAACACAGUGGCCGAUUCUUUAGAAAAUAAGGUGAUGGAUGGAAAAGACAUGCAAGAAUAUCAUUCUUUUCAGGAUAUAUACUAAAUAUUAAUAAAGAUCAUAUUUCACAUAUCAGAAUAAAGACAAGAAGGAUAAUUCAAUAAUGACUAUCAGAAGCAGCAUACAUAUUUACAAUAAAGUAGCAAGUUCAAGCAUAGUUCAACAAACAAAAGAAGAGGAGAAUAAAGAGUACAGUAAAAGGAUAUUAAAAGUAUACCUGGAAGAAGUAUUAUAGCUGUGCUAACGACAGUUAGAAUUAAAAUCCUAGCUAUCAAAAAUCUUCACAAAAAAUGGAGGGGUAGGGAUUUGCUCCAGCAUCCAAAACCACCAGAUAAAGAGAAAGAGGUUUUCAUUACUCAAAACCUGGGUGAACUGGAAGUAGUUUGGCUAUGUGAGAGAUACCCAAGACCACCUGUACACAGAAAGGAAAUAUCAGAUUGGAAAUGACCAGUACCUGAUAGAAGUGAAGCUGAUAGAAAAAGUUCAGUUAAGAUCCACUAUUGAUUCAGCUGGUACAGAGCCCAGAGAAGGAGAAAUUGAAGCUUUGAAUUUAUCUGCAGCACUCCGGCGGCAUUAUUGCAAACAACUUUAAAAGAAAGGGAAGGGAACUUUGUACUCUUGUCUCAAAC
Molecule: long non-coding RNA, 8918 nt
Filed under: Capsicum annuum
Lineage: Eukaryota; Viridiplantae; Streptophyta; Magnoliopsida; Solanales; Solanaceae
Description: long non-coding RNA (CANN_LNC009765)
Source: RNAcentral